GACGAACGCUGGCGGCGUGCUUAACACAUGCAAGUCGAACGGAAAGGCCCUGCUUUUGUGGGUUGCUCGAUUGGCGAACGCGUGAGUAACACGUGUGUAACCCCCCCCUAACUUUGGGAUAUCUUCACGAAACUGGGGCUCUUACCGGAUAGAAUCUCCUGCUGCAUGUUGGGGGUUGGAAAGUUUCGGCGGUUGGGGCUGGUCUGGCGGCUUAUCCGCUUGUUUGUGGGGUAGUGGCUUACCAAGGCUUUGACGGGUAGCCGGCCUGAGAGGGUGACCGGCGACAUGGGGACUGAGGGACGGCCCAGAAGGCUACGGGAGGCAGCAGGGGGGAAUAUGGCACAAGGAGCGGAAGCCUGAUGCAGAAACGCCGCGUGCGGGAAGACGGCCUUCGGGGGGUAAACCGAUUUCGCAUGUGACGAAGCGUGAGUGACGGUAAUGGGUAAAGAAGCACCGGCUAACUACGUG
RNAcentral lists this ribosomal RNA (468 nucleotides) under uncultured bacterium. RNAcentral describes it as "partial 16S ribosomal RNA". It matches the Rfam family "Bacterial small subunit ribosomal RNA", at positions 28 to 507 of the family's 1533-position model. The record is from RNAcentral.